This 233-nucleotide unclassified non-coding RNA is filed under the name Hevea brasiliensis (rubber tree). Lineage: Eukaryota; Viridiplantae; Streptophyta; Magnoliopsida; Malpighiales; Euphorbiaceae. The record is from RNAcentral.
AAACUGGUAUUCACAACUUUUUGGCUAGGAUUUGCCAAGGUGGGGAUGAAGACGGUGAUAUAAGAAAGCAAGGUUGAAUGGAAUUGAUUGAUGAUUCAUAUGGUGCUCUGUUGUUGCUAAAUCAUUUUGUUUCAGGGCUUUUUGUCCAUGUCCUUGUAAAGUUUGCAAUGAAAUUAGUCUCCAGAAGACAGCCAUUAGUUAUCCAGUCUGAUGAUUUUCUCACUUCUUUUCUG